UACAGAGGGGGCAAGCGUUAUUCGGAAUUAUUGGGCGUAAAGGGCGCGUAGGCGGCCUGGCAAGUGGAAGGUGAAAUCCCUCGGCUUAACCGAGGAACUGCUCUCCAAACUGCUUGGCUUGAGUCCGGGAGAGGUGAGUGGAAUUCCCAGUGUAGCGGUGAAAUGCGUAGAUAUUGGGAGGAACACCAGUGGCGAAGGCGGCUCACUGGACCGGAACUGACGCUGAGGCGCGAAAGCGUGGGGAGCAAACGGG
This 253-nucleotide ribosomal RNA is filed under the name uncultured bacterium. RNAcentral's name for it is "partial 16S ribosomal RNA". It matches the Rfam family "Bacterial small subunit ribosomal RNA", at positions 524 to 776 of the family's 1533-position model. The record is from RNAcentral.